Molecule: ribosomal RNA, 253 nt
Filed under: uncultured bacterium
Lineage: Bacteria
Description: partial 16S ribosomal RNA
Rfam family: Bacterial small subunit ribosomal RNA
Source: RNAcentral
UACGUAGGCAGCGAGCGUUGUUCGGAGUUACUGGGCGUAAAGCGUGCGUAGGCGGUGUCUUAAGUUUGUUGUGAAAUCUCCCGGCUUAACCGGGAGGGUGCGGCGAAUACUGAGAUGCUGGAGUGCCGGAGAGGUAAGCGGAAUUCCUGGUGUAGCGGUGAAAUGCGUAGAUAUCAGGAAGAACACCGGUGGCGAAAGCGCUCUGCUAGGCCGCAACUGACACUGAGGGACGAAAGCUAGGGGAGCGAAUGGG